This 479-nucleotide ribosomal RNA is filed under the name uncultured bacterium. RNAcentral's name for it is "bacterial SSU rRNA". It matches the Rfam family "Bacterial small subunit ribosomal RNA", at positions 10 to 471 of the family's 1533-position model. The record is from RNAcentral.
AGUUUGAUUAUGGCUCAGGAUGAACGCUAGCGACAGGCUUAACACAUGCAAGUCGAGGGGCAGCGGGGCGGCAGGCUUGCCUGCCGUUGCCGGCGACCGGCGCACGGGUGAGUAACACGUAUGCAACCUGCCCGUGGCAGGGGGAUAAGCGGGGGAAACCCCGUCUAAUACCGCGUAACGCGGCCUAGGGACAUCCCAAGGCCGCCAAAGGGAGCAAUCCCGGCCACGGAUGGGCAUGCGGCGCAUUAGCUAGUCGGCGGGGUAACGGCCCACCGAGGCGACGAUGCGUAGGGGUUCUGAGAGGAAGGCCCCCCACACUGGUACUGAGACACGGACCAGACUCCUACGGGAGGCAGCAGUGAGGAAUAUUGGUCAAUGGGCGCGAGCCUGAACCAGCCAAGUCGCGUGAGGGAGGACGGCCCUACGGGUUGUAAACCUCUUUUGCCGGGGAGCAACGGGCGCCACGUGUGGCGCCACUG